CAAAAGCAAAAGAAAGAAGUGGGUGACGGCAAAAGAAGUGGGGGAAGAGAGGAUGAGAGAAAGCAGAGGGACAGCGGCGGAGAAAGACGCAGGAAGACGAGGAAGGACACCUGAUGCUAUGGUACAUGCAGUCCACAAUCUCUUGGAUCUGCGACAGCUCCAGGUUCUUCAUGAAGUCAUUGUCCAAGAUGGCUUCCUUGAUCAGAUCCUUGGACCUGGAGACAAGGUGAACAACGCAGGCCAGGUGCAGAGGAGUCAACCGUCAAGCGAGCGUCAGUCUGAUCCUCUCUGAUACGACAUGUCAAGAGACUGGAGUGAAGUCUGAGGCGAGACCAGAUCCUGAACAAAUGAAAAGAAGAUGUAUUUUUCCUGUCCAACCAGUGGGGUAAGUGUAUUGAUUCAUAAUGACACAGCCUUUAAGUUCAAACCCAACAGACAGCUGGAUUAUUUCACAACAGAGGGCUAUUUUAGUGCCGGUUUCAUUUGGAGAAGUAGAUCUGGUGUUGCAGACCAAGUUGAGCAGGGAGGGAGGUGUUUGUUUAAGAGUUUGAAAAGGAAGAGAGAGAUAGAGAGAGAGAGGGAGAGAGUAGCUUCAGACAAAUCAUAAGGUAAACAUGCACAGAGAGCCUGUUAAGACUGCCUGUCACAGAAUCAC
Molecule: long non-coding RNA, 655 nt
Organism: Lates calcarifer (barramundi perch)
Lineage: Eukaryota; Metazoa; Chordata; Actinopteri; Centropomidae
Exons: 4
Source: RefSeq, a predicted model, not a curated record